GCCUACGGGAGGCAGCAGUAGGGAAUAUUGGACAAUGGGGGCGAACCCUGAUCCAGCAAUGCCGCGUGAGUGAUGAAGGCCUUAGGGUUGUAAAGCUCUUUUACCCGAGAUGAUAAUGACAGUAUCGGGAGAAUAAGCUCCGGCUAACUCCGUGCCAGCAGCCGCGG
This 167-nucleotide ribosomal RNA is filed under the name uncultured Sphingomonas sp. Its description in RNAcentral is "partial 16S ribosomal RNA". It matches the Rfam family "Bacterial small subunit ribosomal RNA", at positions 337 to 520 of the family's 1533-position model. The record is from RNAcentral. Lineage: Bacteria; Pseudomonadati; Pseudomonadota; Alphaproteobacteria; Sphingomonadales; Sphingomonadaceae.